CCAGGCACAUGUCCAACGCUUAAGCAAAUAGAAAAUCUCUCACGCCUCUACCAUGUUCACGUUGGCUUCCUGGAGGUUUCACAUAUGCGCCGCCUUUCCAUAUCCCUCGCACAGGCCUUUAGCUCCCUGCACCAGCGCUUGUUCUUUUUAGUGUCGAGCCUCUUGCUCCACGCCAGUUCCUGGCUCGACGUCAUCGAGCACGCCAGCCACCCGCCCCUGAACGAGCUCCCUCCCAGUUGUCUUCUCUGUGCCGCCUCCUCGCCGAGUUGCGCGCUGCCGACCGAGCUGGUGACCUCGCCCAGGUCCGAGCUCGACCUCCCCAACGCCCUGGACACCAAGGUCCCACGACGCGGUGCAGUGACAAACUUGCCUAGGUCCGGCGCCCUUAGCUCUAGCUUGCCGAGCUUCUUUCCCAGCCGCUCCAGCAUACACCGAUAGCCAAGCCUCUCCAUCACGCCAAGCUACUCACCUCCGCUCGACUUGCAAGCUUCGGCCGCACCUCGCUCCUUAGCCACCUCGCCGGCGCCUACCUACGUCACAGUCCCCUCUUGUGGUAGGCGUCGCGACGUUCCUGCUCCACGCCGUGGCGUCUCCCCGGUGUCUCCCUGCCUUCAACGGGUCUCACCCGGCUGCGUCCUCGGCCUGGCUCGCUGUGCUCGUCCAUGGCCACCGGUGUUCGCCUUCUUGCGUCGCGCCCGACCCAGCCGUGUGCUCGCCCGGCCGCGUCCUAUCGAGGUACGUUUAUUGACUACAUGAUAUGGAGGACCAAAGUUGAGUCGACCAUAAGAUAUCGCUACGCGUGAACUUCUCCAAAAGAUGAAGCUGAUGGACUAAUCUGAAGAUGGAUGGACGAAGCAAGUAUCAGAACAAAGGAUGGUCGUCAAGUGAUCGACGUCUAACAAACACUAACCUAGUGUUUAUUCCAGGCAAGCCCCAGUGCAUGCAACCCUUCCUUGUGUUUUUAAAUUAUUUUUACACACUUUAAGUCUAGUGAAUGUGCAUUAGGUUUAUAGGAGUUGCUUGGAAACCCUUUGAUGCAUUGGCUA
Molecule: long non-coding RNA, 1046 nt
Organism: Zea mays
Lineage: Eukaryota; Viridiplantae; Streptophyta; Magnoliopsida; Poales; Poaceae
Exons: 2
Source: RefSeq, a predicted model, not a curated record